GAGUUUGAUCCUGGCUCAGAGUCAACGUUGGCGGCGUGCGUAACACAUGCAAGUCGAACGAUCCUUAAGUGGCUUGCCAUUUAAGGAGAGUGGCGAACGGGUGAGUAACACGUGAGUAAUCUGCCCUCAAGCGGGGAAUAACUCCGCGAAAGCGGUGCUAAUACCGCAUAAUACUCUAAAGCAUAUGCUUUUAGAGUCAAAGCCUUCGGGUGCUUGAGGAUGAGCUUGCGCCAUAUUAGCUUGUUGGUGGGGUAAUGGCCUACCAAGGUUAUGAUGUGUAGCCGGCCUGAGAGGGUGUACGGCCACACUGGAACUGCGACACGGUCCAGACUCCUACGGGAGGCAGCAGUGGGGAAUUUUGCGCAAUGGGCGAAAGCCUGACGCAGCGACGCCGCGUGGAGGAUGACGGCCUUCGGGUUGUAAACUCCUGUCAGAGGUGAAGAAAGCCCUUUCGGGGGCCUGACGGUAACCUCAGAGGAAGCCCCGGCUAACUACGUGCCAGCAGCCGCGGUAAUACGUAGGGGGCAAACGUUGCUCGGAAUUACUGGGCGUAAAGGGUGUGUAGGUGGCUGAGCAAGUCUAAGAUGAAAUCCCGAGGCCUACCCUCGGAACUGUCUUAGAUACUGCUCAGCUUGAGGAUGGUUGAGGAGAACGGAAUUCCCGGUGGAGCGGUGAAAUGCGUAGAUAUCGGGAGGAACAGAAACCUACACAGGUGCUGCAUGGCUGCCGUCAGCUCGUGUCGUGAGAUGUCGCGUUAAGUCGCUGAACGAGCGCAACCCUUAUCUUUAGUUGCCAGCGGGUCAAGCCGGGCACUCUAAGGAGACUGCCGGUGUCAAACCGGAGGAAGGUGGGGAUGACGUCAAGUCAUCAUGGCCUUUAUGCCCAGGGCUGCACACGUGCUACAAUGGCGCGUACAAAGGGAAGCGAACCCGCGAGGGGAAGCAAACCUCAAAAAGCGCGCCUCAGUUCGGAUUGCAGGCUGCAACUCGCCUGCAUGAAGCCGGAAUCGCUAGUAAUCGCAGGUCAGCUAUACUGCGGUGAAUAUGUUCCUGAGCCUUGUACACACCGCCCGUCAAGCCACGAAAGCGGGGGGCAUCCGAAGUCGCCGAGCUAACCGUAAGGGAGCAGGUGCCGAAGAUGAACUCCGUGAUUGGGACUAAGUCGUAACGAGGUAGCCGUAGGGGAACCUGCGGCUGGAUCACCUCCUUUCU
This 1211-nucleotide ribosomal RNA is filed under the name uncultured organism. RNAcentral's name for it is "partial 16S ribosomal RNA". It matches the Rfam family "Bacterial small subunit ribosomal RNA". The record is from RNAcentral.